This is a long non-coding RNA of Scatophagus argus, 885 nucleotides long. RefSeq lists it as uncharacterized. The record is from RefSeq and is a predicted model, not a curated record. NCBI's taxonomy places the organism in Eukaryota, Metazoa, Chordata, Actinopteri, Scatophagidae. The transcript has 2 exons.
GUUAUUUUAUGAUGCAGAUGAGGACAGUGUUGCACAGGACCUUGCUGUACAAGGGAUGAAAAUCUACAGCAUCCAGACUAAUCCAUCAGAGGGGAGACAGGACAUCGGAGUUGUGAUAGAAGGAACAAAGGUCCUGACUGGUCUGGGUAACUUUCCAAGGGCUUGUGCCAUGCUCAUGGGAUUGACGUAUGCAGUGAAUCUUGCCUAUCCCAAGGAACUCAGAAUGUGGAUGGUUGAGAAGCCGGUGAAGGAUUAUCUCCUUGUUCCUGCACCAGCAGCUCCUGCUGUUUGGUGAGAUCUGAGAUGAUAGCAUGAAGCUCUUUGGGUAAAGAAGAAAAAGGAGAAGAGAGUCAUGGGUGUCAAGAGGUUUUCAGAACAGUGGUGCAAAUCACAACUUUGACGUUUCAAAUCAGGCUGAAGAGGGUGAAAACUUAAAACAACUCACUGAUAUGUUCAGCAGGCAGAAAAGAGAGAAUUUUGAGAAUUAAGAAUCAGCGGCUGAAAAGCAUUACAUUCAUAUAACCUGCUGUCAGGAAAUCAAACUAUAAAAGACAAACAAUCAGCAAACAUGGACACUGAACAGGAUGAUGGGAAUCCAGUAAGAUCUUGCAUUGAAAAUAUUGCAUCAGCAAACCUUCAGGUCAGGGUGACAGAAUUUCCUUGAACAUCGAGAAAGUCUUUUUAUAACCAAGUACACUAGUUGCAACUCAGGGUGUGUAUCGAACUGCCCUCUAGUUCAGUAAGCAGUGAGUCACUCUACAGUGAAUAUUUUGGGAACUGAUUAGGUAACUGAUUCAAUAAACACUGAGACAGUGAUGAGUCAGUGACCUGCAGUGCAGAAAAUGCUAAUACAGCACUUGAUAAUGAUAUCACAUUGGGGGAAAA